UGGGGAAUAUUGGACAAUGGGCGAAAGCCUGAUCCAGCCAUGCCGCGUGUGUGAAGAAGGUCUUCGGAUUGUAAAGCACUUUAAGUUGGGAGGAAGGGCAUUAACCUAAUACGUUAGUGUUUUGACGUUACCGACAGAAUAAGCACCGGCUAACUCUGUGCCAGCAGCCGCGGUAAUACAGAGGGUGCAAGCGUUAAUCGGAAUUACUGGGCGUAAAGCGCGCGUAGGUGGUUUGUUAAGUUGGAUGUGAAAUCCCCGGGCUCAACCUUGGAACUGCAUUCAAAACUGACUGACUAGAGUAUGGUAGAGGGUGGUGGAAUUUCCUGUGUAGCGGUGAAAU
This 340-nucleotide ribosomal RNA is filed under the name uncultured bacterium. RNAcentral describes it as "partial 16S ribosomal RNA". It matches the Rfam family "Bacterial small subunit ribosomal RNA", at positions 355 to 687 of the family's 1533-position model. The record is from RNAcentral.